GGAAAAUGUAUGGUCACUGGUCUAGUCUGCACUCCCAGAAAGGGCCUUUGGUCCCCAGCAGUCACCAACACUAGCACUAGCACUCUCUUUGUCUAGGAACUGAGACUUGGACUUCUGCUCCUUUGCGCUAGAGCAACAUCCCUCCUUCUCGGCCCAGAAACUAUGGCCCAAAACUAUGUAUGGGCAAUAGAGUUACUAAUCAGCAUCAAUUUUAUCUAGUGACAGCAAAGGGAUUCCUAUAAUCUCUUUGUGACCAGUUGUCCAAGCCUCUUCCUAUUUCUGAGCUGAUAGCUCCCAAAGCUACUAUUAUAACAGUUGUUGCCACUGUGGUACAUGUGGACUCAUGGCAGACCUACAACUCUGUACCACAAAUUUUUCCUGUCAAUCUAAGUUUUCUUAAGCUGAAAAAAUUAUCUUGUUCCAAACCUUUUGUUGGCAUUGCCAUUCCUAAAUUAAAUUUGAGGUGUCAUUAAAGUUGUUUAAAAUGGAAUGUUGGAGGAGUUUAGUUGAGUGGCUGCUUCUAAUCCAUAAUUUUGAUUCCCUCUCCUCCAUUAUGAAAGCAAAUUUUUAAGAAAAGCAAUCUAACUCUUCUUUCUCCAACUGCCACUUAUAAGAGGUAUAACCUCUUAUAAUUUAGCCUCUGGCCCCACCACAGAACUGAGACUGUUCUUUCAAAGGUUAACAAUGAUCUCAAUACUAUUUCCUCUAUGAUUUUCUAUAUUACAUACUCAUAUAUUAACCAAAAUAAAAAUAACCUUUGAAAUUUUAUUAUUGAUAUUAAACUUUAUACUAUGUAUGUGUGUAUACACUCAUAUAUGUGAAAAAAAUUUAAAGAACUUGGUAGACUAAAAUUAUCAUCAGUUAGUCUUAGAGCAAGAUGAUGCUAAUUAAGUCUAUUAGUUCAUAUCAAAAAUACUCAGAAAAUCAUUCACAUAAAGUGAUUUAAAGAAUUCCUUGCUAAAUAUAGACUCCUAGUACUGAAGUUUUUUGCUACUUAUUUGUAUGUACAGGAAAAUCAUGACCUUUCCAAGGACUUCGAGUCUAAAAUUUUCCUGUGAUCAAUGAGAAUCAAGAGGACGACAAGGCAAAAAUUCUGAAAAGAAGGAAGUUAAAGAAUUCACUACUGAAAUCUGAAAAGGCAAUAAUGCCUGCCCUUUUGCCUUUUUCAAUGUCAGGUAAUGUCCUCUCUGUUUGGAGGGCACUGAGCUGCUUUUUGGUCCACAGCUUUCAGUAAACUAUUGAAAGGCAGAACCACCAGGACAGGCAACCUAAUUUUCAUGACAAGCAUAGCACCCCAAUAUUGUUAAAUGGUGCCACUUUCUGUCUUGUCACUUGGGCUUAUGCAACAACACAAAUUGGAAUUGGAUGGAACUUAUCCCCUUUUGG
This is a long non-coding RNA of Sarcophilus harrisii (Tasmanian devil), 1386 nucleotides long. RefSeq lists it as uncharacterized. Lineage: Eukaryota; Metazoa; Chordata; Mammalia; Dasyuromorphia; Dasyuridae. The record is from RefSeq and is a predicted model, not a curated record. The transcript has 2 exons.